This is a long non-coding RNA of Gallus gallus (chicken), 2013 nucleotides long. The record is from Ensembl. Lineage: Eukaryota; Metazoa; Chordata; Aves; Galliformes; Phasianidae.
AAGCAUCUAAAGCCUAGUAGAAGGGGCUGCUGGCAGCCUGGUUUCUGAUCUUGCUUCAGUGAAGGAAGAGGUUCCCUAUGCUGCUCUGAUUUGGUCCUAUGAAGACAAAGUGGAGUGAAGUGGGAUUAACAUAAAGAAAAAAAAGACAUCAGAAGAAAAGAGGACUCCCAGAGGCAUGAAUGUGUUUGAGUCUCCAGGUUCCCUCUCAUUCACCUUCUGUUUCUAUGAAGCCUAUUUUCCUGGCUCCUCUGGCAGCUAUGCAGCACCUGGGGGUUUCCUGGAGGCUGCCAGCCAGUAGAAAGAGUAGGAAAGAAGAUCCAGAAUGCAGCAGUCUUCACAAACCCUAUGUGAAAAAUAUACUUUGGACUGAAUAAUUGGGCAGAAGCAACAUGAACUAAUUUUCACUGGAAUGGCUGGAAAUGUAGUUGUGGCACUUCUCAGAACUGCUCUCUUACUGAAAAAAAACUGUUUGGAAUAUGAAGCCUUCCUGUGCUGUGACAGUAAGGUAAUGACUCUUAUACUCUAGAGCUCUUUGGGGCAGAGAGGUUUAUUAGGAAGACAGCACGGCAUCUUGUCUGUGAAGUGUAUGGAUUCUAUAUGAAAACAGCAAUUUAUCUUUACCUUCUAUCAGAAAUGCAAUGAGGCCAACAAAAACAAUUUUAUCUGUAAGUCUACUACGGGUGACACUAAUUAAGAAUGUUAGAUGUGUGAAUUUUGUAAUUCAGGUUGAACUGAUGUGAAAUUCUGAGCAUCAGGGUAAAAUUCCUUAAGUCCUGUAAACAAAAUAUGGAGAAAGAACUAUGCAAGUGAGUGUUUAAGACUGUACUUGCAAAAUGUGUUUAAAAACAUUAGAUGUUCUUACCUAAGAAACAUGUUAGCGUCAUAAUUGUGUAUUUUGAGUAAAAUGGUAUAAUUGUUUCACUAUCAUUAAUUCUCUUUCCAAUUCUUGAUUUUAUGUCCUUAUUUAAUACAUUUUUACAGACUUUUUAUUUGUUUGUUGUUUUUAAGGUAGUUGACCAGUUGAGAGUAAGGAAUCACAGUUUUUUUGGUGGAAUUAAAAUUUGUUUGCUGGAUCUUUCAUAAGAAGGCCAAAGUUGCCCAUGUAAGGAGGGAAAUAAAACUUUUCUUUGUAGUUUCAAUGACAAUGUUCAUGUGCAUUGGUUUUGUUUCCUGGAAAAUCUUACAUUGGCCAGGUAUGGACCUGUUGAUGUUGAGUAAAGUAAUUCUUUUUCAUUAUCCUUUCAUUUUGAGGUGAGGAGAAAAAAAUACAUUUUUAUAGCAUUAAAUUACAGUUGAGCAUGAUUGUUUACAUCUAUAUUUGUUUUCUUUAUUUAUAAUAUGUUUUUCUCUUGGUAUAAUUUGCCUUAUGUGCUGAGAUGUUAGGAAGAUGCUUUUACAGUAGUUAUAAAUCUUAUUUUAAUCCUAGAGAAGGGAAUGAAUAAGUAAUACCACAUCUGUCUCAACUUUUUAUAUACCCCCUGGUAUACCCCCUGGUACUGAGGACUUCCAUAAAAGGUUAGGCCCUUAUAUACAUCAAAGGUGUACUGGUGUGUUGUACUUUUAACCUUAUCUGUCUCUAGUACAGGAAUAGGUGUUUAGUAGUGAAAAUCAUGAGCAAACAUUUUGAAUGUUGCUCUGCAAGUGUUAGAUCUUUCUACUCAUUUGUGGAGCUGCUGUUUUUGUAUGUUCAGGGCCUUGGGCAUAGAUGUGCACCAAUUGAUCAGUGCUCCUAGGAGAGUGUGAAGAGGUAAACCAAGAAUUAAACAAAUUAAGAAGGUAAUCUUAGUGAAAUUCAUCAAAAAGCAGUAAUUCAUUACUACUCUCGACAAUAUUUGGUGGCAUUGCACCUGGCAUGCUAGUUUUAACAAGUGUAUCAUCUGGAAUACCUCAUCACCUCAUGGAAAAAAAUUGUCCUCUGGAGUCCUUCAGCUUAGAAGGUGGUCAUAGGCAAGUCUAGUAUUGAAACCAGAAGAAUUAAACCAGAAAUAAAAUGUAUAGCGUCAUUGAAAAUGC